RNAcentral lists this long non-coding RNA (2722 nucleotides) under Salvia miltiorrhiza (redroot sage). RNAcentral describes it as "long non-coding RNA (SMIL_LNC007227)". Lineage: Eukaryota; Viridiplantae; Streptophyta; Magnoliopsida; Lamiales; Lamiaceae. The record is from RNAcentral.
UACUCUCGCGCUUGACCUUAAUCACGAGAAUAUAAAAUAAGACAUUGCCUCGAGGAAAAUUCUUAAUUAAUGAGAAAGCGUAAUUUAACUAUGCAUGAAUCUGGUAUGCAUGAACUAAUACUCUGAGCGAUAAUCGGGAAUUCUACUAUUAAUCCUCGUUAAUAGAUUUAGCUAAUUCUCGUCUAGCGCGGUCGAAUAAAACUGUGAUUCUUCCUUCCUCAUCGGAAUAUUCUAGUCGUGAAAUAAACCUCGCAUUUGUACUUGAUUGAAAAAGGACUAACUCGGCUUUAAACGAGGUGUGACCUUGUAGAAAUUAUCGGGCUUUUCGAUAGAAGCAUCAUUACUAGCGUAACCUCAAAUAAUUAAUAGGCUCAAAAGAGAGUAGCCAAUUAAUUAAAUAAACAAGUGGCUUUAAUGAAAUAAACAAUGUCAGCUCGCUUUAAAGUCUGAAGUCCAAAACAAUAAUUAAUAAACUGGGCGGCUCAUUUACUGAAUACGAAUCGGCUCACCGACUGAUAAAUAAUUGGGCUCCAUCAAAAUUUGAUACUGCUAGGCUUAGCUCAAAGGAGUAACUUCAGCUCAAGCUUUAAAAGAAUUAAAGCCCAACUUAAAAAGUCUUCGACCCAAAAUAAUUAAAAUAGGGGUCCAAAUAAUAAUUAAUGUGGACUGAAAAGAAUUAAUCUUAGCCCAAAAAGGCAAUUUAAUCGGCCCAAAUGAUGAAUUAAACUGGCCCAACGAAAUAUAAAUGGGACUAGAAUAAUAGCCCAUCAUAAAAUAUGCAUCAGCCCAACUCCUUAAUUAAAUCGAGCCCAAUAGGAUUAAUAAGAAGGGCCAAUUAAAUAAAAGACUGGCCCAGUUCGAAUUUAAAUGAAAGCCCAAUCUUUUAUUAAAAAAUCGGCCCAAGACUCGGCCCAACAUAAAGAAAUAACACGGCCCAGAUGAUUUAAUUCGGCCCAGUUCGAAAUUAUUAUAUGGAAGCCCAAAAACCAUUAAAAACAAUUCUCAGCCCAAAAUUUUAAAAAGGAAUAAGCCCAAAAUUCUUUAAACAAUUAGAGCCCAUCAGCAAAAUAAAGAAUAAGGCCCAAGCUUAAAAGAAUUCGGCCCAAAAGAAAAGAAUUGCAGCCCAAACUCUCUCUCUUUAGACUCUCGGUCCUUCUCUCUCUCCCAUCUCUCCUUUACCUCAAUCACAGCCGACACUCCCCUCUCUCAAACCAGCCGCACGCCUCUUCUCCCUCUCACUCUCGACUCGCCUUCACACGAGGCGUCCGCCGCCGAGACUCCAGCCGUCAUCUGCUUCGGUUGGCUUCGACCGGCGACGUCAUCUCUCUUCCUCAAUCUGCACGCAGAGUUCAAAAUCAAGCCCUAACUUCUCCUGGUAAAUCGCAGCUGCCGCACCUCCGUAUGGAAUCCGGCGAGCGGUCGGCGCCGGUCGUGGCCGUCUCUCUCUCCCUUCUGAAUCCGACGGCUGCUGUCUUCUGGAGCCAUCGCCGACUAGAGUUGCUGCUGCUCGGGCUCGGUACCGGUCGAACAGAGCGGUUGCGUCUCGUUCGUGGCUGCGUCGGCUGUUCUUCUCAACCCAAUGAAGGUGCAGCAGAAGCCCUAAUUUCCUCUCCGAUUUUGAACCGCCUCUCCCUCUCUCCCCGCUCAGCGCCGCGGCGUUUUGUAAAUCCGGCGAUAGCAGCCCCAGCCACCACCGCUCCUUCCGUCGUUGGGCCCUAGUUCUCAGAAAAAGGGAAAAACGCAACUGUCGAGCGACCGCUGCUGCUGCGCACGAGUCUCAGCUCGUCGCCGGGCAGCUGCUGUUCGGGGCUCUGAUGAGGUUGGACGAGUUCGCCCUGUCCCGACCGUCGUCGUCGUCCCCGUCCCCGUCGGGCAGUCAGCCCUUCUACAGCUAAGUUCAAUACUUAAGUCUAUGUGGAGUCUUGGUUUUUGCUACUGAUUUAUGAGAGUUUUCUCAUUGCCUUUAUCUUAAGUGAAGAAAAUAUAUACUGAUUUCUGUAUUAUGCAAGAGAUAAAACUAAGUUCGUGGUUUACUAAUGUAUCAAGAAUUUUCCUUGCUUGCCUCGUGUGAUAAGAAAAUAUAGCAUAAACUGAUUUCGAUUGCUAAGUCCCUGUGUGCAUAUAUAUACACACCUGUAUACUAUGUAUUUCCUUUUUAAACAUAUGCUUGAUGAUAUGAUGUAUGAACUGGAGCUGAGCUAAGUAUAUACCUGCUAUGCUUGGUGUUGGUGGCUGUUUGUUGCUAUUGAAUUCAAUGGGGAAGGAACUGAAAUUGCAAAUAUUGUUUUCUCAACAAAUGCAGAAAGAACCAAGUAUGGAAUGAAGAAAACUUAGGCCAAGACUCACCUCUCGAUACUUGGCAGUUGGCAGCAGCUUAAUGAAUUUUCCUCGCUUUGGUGGUUGAAGGAACUAGUAGCCUUAAAGAACUUAAAGAAUUGAAGAUGGUGGGGAGCAAAGUGGAAAAAUGUAGUGGAGGAAAGCAAAAGGUGGUGGCGUGGAGUGGAGUUAUUGGGAAGUUUGGUGGUCGGCUCUUUCAUAUACAUUCCCUACUUUUGAAUUUUCUCUCUUAUUGACUAAUGUGCCUACACUUGAGUGAAGGCAUUAAGUAAGCCUCGUAGAGUCCAAUCCUUUGUAAUAUACUAAACGAUUUUUCCCAAGCUGGGAACUAGCCUGUAAUCUAUAAACUGUAAAUAAAUACUGGCUUCGAUUUUAAAUCAUCGCA